RNAcentral lists this long non-coding RNA (1123 nucleotides) under Mytilus galloprovincialis (Mediterranean mussel). The record is from RNAcentral. Lineage: Eukaryota; Metazoa; Mollusca; Bivalvia; Mytilida; Mytilidae.
UGUACAGUUGUUUAGUGAUCAGGGAUAAAUUUUCAGUGGUAGUUAUUUGUCACUGAAACUUAAUAAAGUGUAAUAUUGCUUGAUGCUUAAAAUGUAACUAUAAGGUUUUAGUCUGUUCAACUAGCUUUUUAUACGACUGCAAAAAUUGAAAAAUUUUUGGUCGUAUAUUGGUAUGAUGUUGGCAUCGUCGUCGUCGUCGCCCGAAUACUUUUAGUUUUCGCACUCUAACUUUAGUAAAAGUGAAUAGAAAUCUACGAAAAUUUUAACACAAGGUUUAUGACCACAAAAGGAAGGUUGGGAUUGAUUUUGGGAGUUUUGGUCCCAAUAUUUUAGGAAUUAGGGGCCACAAAGGGCCAAAUAAGCAUUUUCUUGGUUUUCGCACAAUAACUUUAGUAUAAGUAUAUAAAAGUCAAUGAAAUGUGAACACAAGGUUUAUGACCACAAAAGGAAGAUUGGGAUUGAUUUUUGGAGUUGAGGUCCCAACAGUUUAGGAAUUAGGGGCCAAAAAGGGGCCCAAAUAAGUAUUAUUCUUGGUUUUCGCACCAUAACUUAAGUAUAAGUAAAUAGAAAUCUAUGAAAUUUAAACACAAGGUUUAUGACCAUAAAAGGAAGGUUGGGUUUGAUUUUGGGAGUUUUGGUCUCAACAGUUUAGGAAUAAGGGGCCCAAAUGGUCCAAAAUUGAACUUUGUUUGAUUUCAUCAAAAAAUGAAUAAUUGGGGUUCUUUGAUAUGCCGAAUCUAACUGUGUAUGUAGAUUCUUAAGUUUUGGUCCCGUUUUCAAAUUGGUCUACAUUAAGGUCCAAAGGGUCCAAAAUUAAACUUAGUUUGAUUUUAACAAAACUUGAAUCCUUGGGGUUCUUUGAUAUGCUGAAUAUAAAAAUGUACUUAGAUUUUUUAUUAUUGGUCCAGUUUUCAAGUUGGUCCAAAUCGGGGUCCAAAAUUAAACUUUGUUUGAUUUCAUCAAAAAUUGAAUAAUUGGGGUUCUUUGAUUUGCCAAAUCUAACUGUGUAUGUAGAUUCUUACUUUUGGUCCCGUUUUCAAAUUGGUCUACAUUAAAGUUCAAAGGGUCCAAAAUUAAACUAAGUUUGAUUUUAACAAAAAAUGAAUUCUUAGGCUAUUUUAAU